Molecule: ribosomal RNA, 824 nt
Filed under: uncultured Bacillota bacterium
Lineage: Bacteria; Bacillati; Bacillota
Description: bacterial SSU rRNA
Rfam family: Bacterial small subunit ribosomal RNA
Source: RNAcentral
UGUAGCAAUACACAGUCGAGCGGCGAACGGGUGAGUAACGCGUGGAUAACCUGCCCAGAGGUGGGGGAUAACCCGGGGAAACUCGGGCUAAUACCGCAUAUGACCGUGAGGUCAAAGGCGGCUCGCAAGGGCUGUCGCCAUUGGAGGGGUCCGCGUACGAUUAGCUAGUUGGUAGGGUAAUGGCCUACCAAGGCGACGAUCGUUAGCCGGCCUGAGAGGGUGAUCGGCCACACUGGAACUGAGACACGGUCCAGACUCCUACGGGAGGCAGCAGUGGGGAAUUUUGCGCAAUGGGCUAACGCCUGACGCAGCAACGCCGCGUGGAGGAUGAAGGUCUUUGGAUUGUAAACUCCUGUCAGCAGGGAAAAAGCAAAUCGGCCUAACACGCCGGUGAGUUGAUUGUACCUGCAGAGGAAGCCCCGGCUAACUCUGUGCCAGCAGCCGCGGUAAUACAGAGGGGGCAAGCGUUAUUCGGAAUUAUUGGGCGUAAAGGGUGCGUAGGCGGCCUGGCAAGUGGAAGGUGAAAUCCCUCGGCUUAACCGAGGAACUGCCUCCCAAACUGCUUGGCUUGAGACCAGGAGAGGUGAGUGGAAUUCCCAGUGUAGCGGUGAAAUGCGUAGAUAUUGGGAGGAACACCAGUGGCGAAGGCGGCUCACUGGACUGGUACUGACGCUGAGGCGCGAAAGCGUGGGGAGCAAACGGGAUUAGAUACCCCGGUAGUCCACGCCGUAAACGAUGAGUGCUUGGUGUAGCGGGUAUCGACCCCUGCUGUGCCGAAGUCAACACAUUAAGCACUCCGCCUGGGGAGUACGGUCGCAAGGCUG